Molecule: long non-coding RNA, 2012 nt
Filed under: Homo sapiens (human)
Lineage: Eukaryota; Metazoa; Chordata; Mammalia; Primates; Hominidae
Source: RNAcentral
GUGACAACAAGCUAAGCUCUGGGUGACUAUUCCUGUAAGACACGUCCUGUGCUUAGCGCUGCUAUUAUGGGGUGAACAGACACAGCAAAGAAUCAAUUAAAACUCUGACACAUUAAAUGGAGCUCCAAGACCUGUUUCACAGGUUUCCAGAAAGGAAAAUAAUCAUGUUACAUUAUACUUUGGAAGCCGAUUGAGGCAAGAUUUCUGAGACAAGUUCUGAGGUUUCCAAGACAGACUUUAGCUUUUCUAAAUCAUUUUUUAAGUGCUAUGUAAAGGAUUACAGCAUUCAAUUCUCCAGUAGUCCAACAGCAUCAUGGUGGAGCAAGAGGGAUUAUCCUGUGGGCAUCCUCCGGAAAACUGUAUAUACCCAAAAGGAUUGAAGAUCGGUAUACAUGGAUAUGCAUACACCAUUCACAACGGCUAAAAGGUAGAAACAACCCAAUGUCCAUGAAUGGAUGAAUGGAUAAACAAGUUGUGUGAUAUAUCAAUACAGCAGACUAUUACUCAGCCAUAAAAAGGAAUGAAGUUCUGAUAAAUGUGACCAUGUGGAUGAACCUUGAAAAUAUUAUGUUAAGUGAAAGAAGCCAGACAAAAGGUCAAAUAUUAUUAUUAUUCCAUUUAUAUGAAAUAUCCAGAAUAGGCAAAUCCAUAGAGACAGAAAGCAGAUUGGUGGUUGCCAGGGGCUAAGGGAGUAGAGAAUGGGGAGUGACUGCUUCAUGGUACAGGGCUUCCUUUUGGGGUGGUGAAAAUGCUCUGCAACUAGACAGUAGUGACGGUUGCACAACAUUGUAAAUGUACUAAAUGUCACAAAUUGUUCUGUUUAAGUGGUUAAUUCUAUGUUAUUGAAUUUCACCUUAAUUUUAAAAAGAGAAAGAAAGAAAAAGAGGAAGCAGAAGGCUCUAAAGAGAAUGUAUGUCCAGGUGCAGUGGCUCACACCUGUAGUCUCAGCACUCUGAGAGGCCGAAGCAAGCAGAUCACUUGAGGCCAGGAGUUCAAGACCAGCCUGGCCAACGUGGUGAAACCCUAUCUCUAGUAAAAAUCCAAAAAUUAGCUGGGCAUGGUGGCACGCACCUAUAGUCCCAGCUACUCAGAAGGCUAAGGCACCAGAAUCACUUGAACCUGGAGGCGGAGACUGCAAUGAGCUGAGAUCACGUGAUUACACUCCAGCCUGGGCGACAGAGAGAAACUCUGUCUCAAAAAAAGAAAAAAAAAAGAGGAUGUGUAAAAGCCAGAAAAUAAGCUUAUCAGAUCAACUGAAGAUCAGCUCUUGCAAGCCUGGAAUGUCUUUGGACUUUACUUAUCCUGGGAGAAGUGGGAGAGCUAGUAAGGAUUUUUAAGCAGGAACAUAACUGGAUCAGGUCUAUAUUUUACACUGAAAUUUUUGAGUGGAGGCUGACAACAGCAGGGAGGUUCCUGGACCCAUGGAAACGAUAUGUGGAGUCUGCCGGCCAGUGAAUGAUCAUAAAGAACGUACCAGAAUAUGAAAUACCUGCCUGAUCAUGUUUCAGUUAAGUCGUUGUAAUGAUCUUUCACAAAAUUCAAACUCAGGAAUAUUAACUGAGAUGAGAAAUACGAACCACAAUUCUUUUCAAACUGAUUUUUUAAAUACCAUAAGCCCAUCUUUUCGCACAUCCUACCAGCUCUGGCAUCCCACAGAGCUUUUAAAGUAAAAUUAACCCACUUCAUCUUCCUCCAAAGAUUGCUCAUAAAGACCUGUCUUUGAACAAAUACUUUACCAAGGAAGUAAGCCUGCUUUUUAUUAGAGCAAAAUGCAAUCCAGAAAUAGGUUUAGAAAAAGAGCUAUGACCCACGAUUAAUACAAUUAUUUUUCUUAGUCUCAAUUUUAGUCACUUUAGCAUGUCCAAAACUACUGCACACUAACUUUGUUUGUUUGUUUGUUUGUUUGUUUGUUUGUUUUGAGACGGAGUCUCGCUCUUGUCUUCCGGGCUGGAGUGCAAUGGCGUCAUCUUGGCUCACUGCAACCUCGGCCUCCCGGGUUCAAGCGAUUCUCC